Molecule: ribosomal RNA, 469 nt
Filed under: Globigerinella siphonifera
Lineage: Eukaryota; Foraminifera; Rotaliida; Globigerinidae
Description: SSU rRNA
Rfam family: Eukaryotic small subunit ribosomal RNA
Source: RNAcentral
GUCUUUCCCUCCCUUCGGGGUGGGAUUACAAAAGAUAACAGAUCUUUCAUGAUCAUGUGAUGGGUGGUGCAUGGCCGUUCUUAGUUCGUGGAGUGAUCUGUCUGCUUAAUUGCGUUUCAAAUUUUAUAUUUGUUAACAUGCGAGUCUUCAAUGACGGCCACUCCACCUUAUAGACAUUAUAUGAUAUGCACAUUUGUGUAUUUGAUUAUAACUUGUCUGGAGUCUGGCUCGAUUUUUUUGACUCAAUUGAACGCAACGGACGUGAUUGCAAGUCCUUGUUGAACAAAUUAUAUAUAUACUACUUCAUCAUUAGUAUAUAUAGUUCGCUUCUCAUGUCGUAGCAGUCAAACGGGCGGGCGUCUUAAUUGGCGCGGUCACGAGGCUUAAUAUGCUGCGGCUGGGAAAACUUGGGCGACCGCUGUAAUACUUCUCUCUUAAACCAGAGGAAGAUUGCGGCAAUAACAGGUCU